AAAAAGGAAGAAGAAUUAGCUAAGAUCCAUUGAAAGCCCUCCUCCCAAACCAGGCUAACUUCACUGCUCACUUCUCCAGAGUUGCAGGAGGUAUGGUCACUGCAUUGGUCAAGAGUCUGUGCAGAGGCAAGCUUAUUACUGCUUGCACCUGACUUCUGUUGGACAGGAGAUCAUUUGGCAUCCCAAUGCCAAUCCCACAUUUACCAAAAAGCCCCCUUUGUUCUGGACUUGUGGUUUUUGCUUGGAUGCACAGAGAGGUGGAUCCUUGAGAGGAGAAACUUGCCUGGUGACUUACUCUUUCCAAGGUAACCAGCCACUUUAGGGAAUCCAGGAGACAAGUACUCUGUUGCCUUCUGAUCUAAAAAGAAAGGUUUCUUUGUCUUUGA
This is a long non-coding RNA of Oxyura jamaicensis (ruddy duck), 386 nucleotides long. RefSeq lists it as uncharacterized. The transcript is spliced from 2 exons. Lineage: Eukaryota; Metazoa; Chordata; Aves; Anseriformes; Anatidae. The record is from RefSeq and is a predicted model, not a curated record.